AGAAAGUUAAUCUAACUAAGACAGUUGACUUCGACUCAACAGACCAUAGCUCAACCCUAUGACUUUCUU
Molecule: transfer RNA, 69 nt
Filed under: Columba livia (rock pigeon)
Lineage: Eukaryota; Metazoa; Chordata; Aves; Columbiformes; Columbidae
Description: tRNA-Arg
Rfam family: tRNA
About the family: Transfer RNA (tRNA) molecules are approximately 80 nucleotides in length. Their secondary structure includes four short double-helical elements and three loops (D, anti-codon, and T loops).
Source: RNAcentral